ACGCUUGACAUGUACGGAAUCCUGAAGAGAUUUGGGAGUGCUCGAAAGAGAGCCGUAACACAGGUGCUGCAUGGCUGUCGUCAGCUCGUGUCGUGAGAUGUUGGGUUAAGUCCCGCAACGAGCGCAACCCUUGUCAUUAGUUGCUACGAAAGGGCACUCUAAUGAGACUGCCGGUGACAAACCGGAGGAAGGUGGGGAUGACGUCAAGUCCUCAUGGCCCUUAUGCGUAGGGCUUCACACGUCAUACAAUGGUACAUACAGAGGGUUGCCAACCCGCGAGGGGGAGCUAAUCUCAGAAAGUGUAUCGUAGUCCGGAUUGAAGUCUGCAACUCGACUUCAUGAAGUUGGAAUCGCUAGUAAUCGCGGAUCAGCAUGUCGCGGUGAAUACGUUCCCGGGUCUUGUACACACCGCCCGUCACACCAUGGGAGCGGGUUUUACCAGAAGUAGGUAGCCUAACCGCAAGGAGGGCGCUUACCACGGUAGGAUUCGUGACUGGGGUGAAGUCGUAACAAGGUAAGCGUAGUGCU
RNAcentral lists this ribosomal RNA (528 nucleotides) under uncultured bacterium. RNAcentral describes it as "bacterial SSU rRNA". It matches the Rfam family "Bacterial small subunit ribosomal RNA", at positions 977 to 1509 of the family's 1533-position model. The record is from RNAcentral.